GGUUCAUUCAAAUUUCUGCCCUAUCAACUUUCGAUUGUAAGAUAGAGGCUUACAAUGGUCUUUACGGGUGACGGGGAAUUAGGGUUCUAUUCCGGAGAGGGAGCCUGAGAAACGGCUACCACAUCCAAGGAAGGCAGCAGGCGCGCAAAUUACCCAAUGCCGAUCGGCGAGGUAGUGACAAUAAAUACUGAUACGGGGCUCUUUCGGGUCUCGUAAUUGGAAUGAGUACAAUUUAAAUCCCUUAACGAGGAACAAUUGGAGGGCAAGUCUGGUGCCAGCAGCCGCGGUAAUUCCAGCUCCAAUAGCGUAUAUUAAAGUUGUUGCAGUUAAAAAGCUCGUAGUUG
Molecule: ribosomal RNA, 344 nt
Filed under: uncultured fungus
Lineage: Eukaryota; Fungi
Description: SSU rRNA
Rfam family: Eukaryotic small subunit ribosomal RNA
Source: RNAcentral